Long non-coding RNA from Equus caballus (horse), 2836 nucleotides. The record is from Ensembl. NCBI's taxonomy places the organism in Eukaryota, Metazoa, Chordata, Mammalia, Perissodactyla, Equidae.
GCAUUUCUUAUGUAAUUGAAAUUCAAUUUAUCUUGAAAAAGUGUUAUGAUACAAUAUAGUAAAAUAGGAGAGUGGUCUUAAUUUUCUUUUGAAAAUUUCAUAAAAUUACCAAGUUUUGUAUAAGAGACAUGACCUGAACAACACUAAAUUCUGCACAUUCUAUAUAAAUGAUUAUAUGUUGAGGCUCAGUGAUGACUAGACAGCCCUCCCUCUACGUGGUGCAGAGCAGAUUAAAUUAAUUAAAUCCGCCCCCCCAAAUAAACUAAUCAGAGAUAUCUUUCCCUAUAGAGCUGUAGAAAAAACUUGAGGCCUGCUGUAAAGUAUUUCAGAAAUGGAUUUACCUGCUAUGUUGGUCAGGACUGACGUGCCAGAAUGUGAAAACAAUCCUUGGCGACACAACAGAAAAUCCUUCACCAUACCAAGGACCUGGGAAAUCUCACCUUGAACAAAAAAGACAAUCAGCAGACAACAAUACUGAGAUGGCACAGAUAUUGGAAUUAUCUGGCAAAUAUUUUAAAGUAGCCAUCGUAAAAAUUCUUCAAAAAGCAAGUGCAAACAUACUUAAAAGAAAUGAAAAAAUAGAAAGACCCAGCAGAGAAAUAAAAUAUAUAAAGAGAAACGAAAUGGAAAUUUUAGAACUGAAAAAAUAUAAUAAAUUAAAAACUCAAUGGAUGGGUUCAACAGCAGAGUGGAGAACACAGGGAAAGAAUCAGUGAACUUGAAAAUAGAACAAUAGAAAUUACCCAGUGUGGAAUGUAGAGAGAAAAUGAACUGGAAAAAAAAAAAGUAUAGAGACUCAGUGAUUUUUGUGGGCCUAUAACAAAAAGUCUAAUAUUUGUGUCAUUAGAGUUCCAGAGAAGAGGACAAAAAGAGUGUUCUCAAAAAAUAUUCAAAGAAACAAUGGUUGAAAAUUUCCCGACUUUGGUAAAAGAUAUAAAUCUACAGAUGUAAGAAGGUGAAUGAGUUCUAAACAUGAUAAAUCCAAAGAAAUCCAUGCCAAGAAACAUCAUAACCAAACUUCUAAACACCAAAGGAGCCAAAGAUAAAGAAAAAAAUAUAGGAAUUCUACAGGAAAAAUGACUCCUCACCUUUAAAGCAAAACCAAUUUGAAUAAAUGUAUUUAGGCCUCUCCUGUCUCUAAAUCACAUGUGCAGCUUGUGCCACUAUGUAGGUGUCAAUACAUCCAACAUAUUUUUUUUACUAAUUCAUAUAUUCAUUCAUUUAUUAUUUGUUUGUAGCAGGAUAAAGUAUAAAGAAAUUAACUUAUGAUUUGUUUUUGUUUUGGUGUGUUCAUUUUAUUCAGGAAAUAUUUGUUGAGCACCUACUGUGUGCAAAACUCAAAGUUGACAAAGACCUUUUAUAUUCUAGUCAGGGCAGACAGAAUCACUUUGGCAUCCUAGUCAAGGGGAAGAGAAGUAAACACACAAGAAAGAAAAAUAUAUAAUAUGUCAGACAGGGAUGACUGAUGAAUGGUGGUAGUGGUGGUGGUAAUGACAGUGUUUGUGUGCAAUGAAAGGGUUAACAGUUAAUAGGUAAUAUUUUCUCCAAACACAGGGACACUUGCAGAAAGUUUUACCCUUAGUUGGACUUGCUGCAAUUAGAGAUAAAUGAGUGUCUUCCUGGUGUUUCUGUUUACUGACUCCUGAUCCUAGGAUGUUCCUAGCAUGCUGUAGCUGGCUGUCUGGAUUAUUUCUUGUACAAUUUGUAGUUUUUAGAUUAAAGCUUCACUCAAGAAAGGGAUCUGGGUAUGGACCACUCCAAGUACAGAGGACUAGCAAGUAUCUAAGCUUGGGGACAAGAAUAUUGGCAUUGGAGAUUUGAAGUGAUUGGAUUCUUGAUAUAUUUUGAAAGUGGACCCUACAGAAUUUGCUGAUGCAUUAGAUGUGGGCUUGUGAGAGGUUGACAGGAAUGAGAAUGACCAAGGUAUGUGGGCCUGGCAGCAAGAAGAAUGGAGGCGCCUUUAUAGUGCUCUAUUGUUUGAUGUAUCUAUUUGCCUUUGAUGAGCAUUUUUUUGCUAUUAAAUUCAAUGCAGCAGUGACAUUGUUCACAAUUUCUUCUUAGACACGUUUGAGUUCCUCUAGGAUGUUCAUAAGAGUGGGAUUGCUGGUUCACACAGUACUGCUGCUUCAUUAGUUCCCAGUUUCACAUCUUUGCCAACACUUAGUAUUGUCAGGCUUAAAGUUCUUGCUGAUCUGAUGGAUGUGAAAUUAUAUCUCAGAAACAUAUUAGACCUUUGCCCAUAUUGUACUUGUUUGUUCUAUUUUCUGUAUUUCCAUCUUUUGUUUCUCUCUCCGUGUUUCUAUCCAGAUAUUUUAUUUUGGUGUAUCUUGAUGUGUUAAUGUGGAACUCUUGUUACCAUUCCAAGUGGUUUCUUCAUCUCAAGCCUUAGUAAAUUUCAUUAUUACCCGCCCAAUGGAUCAAAACUACAUCCAAAUGUCUUUAACACUUUUCUUCACUCCCUACAUCCAGUCCAUCACCAAGCUCUCCCGCUUCUACUUCCAAACAUCCAUAUCCGAUCACGUCUCCCAUUCUACUACAAAUAUCUUGUCUGAGCCACUCUCAUUUAUCUUUAGAUAAUGAGAAAAAGCUUUUCACUCAUUUUCCUGCUUUAGCUACUGUCUUUCCCCAAUUAAUUCUCUGAAACUAUUUAGUAUUUAUAGUAAAAUCUUAAUGUCAUUUUAUUUACUUAUUUUUGGUUAAAUUUAGGCCUAGGUAUGCUAUGUUUAUUUUCACUUGUAAAUUCUGUCUUUUAAACAUUUUCUUACUGUUUGAUACCGGUUUAUAAUUGAUCUUAGACUCAACUUUAUUGCUUAAUAAUUAUUUUCUUAAUAAUUCU